This 307-nucleotide long non-coding RNA is filed under the name Mytilus galloprovincialis (Mediterranean mussel). Lineage: Eukaryota; Metazoa; Mollusca; Bivalvia; Mytilida; Mytilidae. The record is from RNAcentral.
AUUAAACUAGAGGCUCUAAAGAGCCUGUGUCGCUCACCUUGGUAUAUGUGAAUAUUAAACAAAAGAAACAGAUGGAUUCAUGACAAAAUUGUGUUUUGGUGAUGGUGAUGUGUUUGUACAUCUUACUUUACUGAACAUUCUUGCUGCUUACAAUUAUCUCUAUCUAUAAUGAACUUGGCCCAAUGAAAAUUAAUAAAAAUUGACUAUAAAGGACGUUAACUCCUUAGGGGGUCAAUUGACCAUUUCAGUCAUGUUGACUUAUUUGUAAAUCUUACUUUGCUGAACAUUAUUGCUUUUUACAGGUUAU